AUGGGAGUAAAUGGCUUCUUAUCACCUCCUGGGGCAGGGCCUCGCCCCAACGGCUACCUAGUACACUAUUCAUUCCAGGUGAUUCGCUAUGCUGCCAUUGACCCUCUUCCAUGUCGACAUAGGAAAGGAACAACAUCAUCUAGGACGCGUGCGUUUGCCAUCCGUAAUAUUACUAGUACUAAGCUAGGACGAGGCCUAGAUCAACUUCUAAGUAACCUCGCCUGUUUCUGGUCCCAUGGCCGGAAGUGGUUUCUCAUGCUGGAUCGCUGGGUGUUGUCGGCCACAAGACCCCCGUCGGUCCCUCUAUAUUUCCGUCGACGGCGAAAGAGAUAG
This 333-nucleotide ribosomal RNA is filed under the name Triticum aestivum (bread wheat). RNAcentral describes it as "partial small subunit ribosomal RNA". The record is from RNAcentral. Lineage: Eukaryota; Viridiplantae; Streptophyta; Magnoliopsida; Poales; Poaceae.